RNAcentral lists this unclassified non-coding RNA (329 nucleotides) under soil metagenome. Its description in RNAcentral is "partial contains 5.8S ribosomal RNA, internal transcribed spacer 2, and large subunit ribosomal RNA". The stretch from base 1 to 120 matches the Rfam family "5.8S ribosomal RNA", at positions 35 to 154 of the family's 154-position model. The record is from RNAcentral.
GAUGAAGAACGCAGCGAAAUGCGAUAAGUAAUGUGAAUUGCAGAAUUCAGUGAAUCAUCGAAUCUUUGAACGCACAUUGCGCCCUCUGGUAUUCCGGGGGGCAUGCCUGUUCGAGCGUCAUUAUAACCACUCAAGCUCUCGCUUGGUAUUGGGGUUCGCGGUUUCGCGGCCCCUAAAAUCAGUGGCGGUGCCUGUCGGCUCUACGCGUAGUAAUACUUCUCGCGAUUGAGUUCGAUAGGUCUACUUGCCAGUAACCCCCAAUUUUUACAGGUUGACCUCGGAUCAGGUAGGAAGACCCGCUGAACUUAAGCAUAUCAAUAAGCGGAGGA